GGGCCCGCACAAGCGGUGGAGUAUGUGGUUUAAUUCGAUGCAACGCGAAGAACCUUACCAGGGUUUGACAUCCUGCGAAUCUCUUGGAAACGAGAGAGUGCCUUCGGGAACGCAGUGACAGGUGGUGCAUGGCUGUCGUCAGCUCGUGUCGUGAGAUGUUGGGUUAAGUCCCGCAACGAGCGCAACCCACGUCUUUAGUUGCCAGCAUUUAGUUGGGGCACUCUAGAGAGACUGCCGGUGAUAAACCGGAGGAAGGUGUGGAUGACGUCAAGUCAUCAUGCCCCUUACAUCCUGGGCUACACACGUGCUACAAUGGUAUCUACAACAGGAAGCAAAACUGCGAGGUUAAGCA
Molecule: ribosomal RNA, 352 nt
Filed under: uncultured bacterium
Lineage: Bacteria
Description: bacterial SSU rRNA
Rfam family: Bacterial small subunit ribosomal RNA
Source: RNAcentral